CUUGGGAAUAAGACAGAGCUUCCUAUUAAGACCACCACAUCUACUCAUCUUUAAGCUGGUGAUUCUCACCAACACAUCUAAGCAUGAAAGAAAUAAAAAUUAUAAGACAAAAAGGAAAGAAAACUCUCAUUACUUAAAGAUGAUAUAAUUACAUAGAAAAUCAAGAAGAUUCCAUGGAUAGGCUUCCCAAAAAACAAUAUGUAACAUACCAGCAACAAAUGGGUCUCGCUCUGCCACACAGGCUGGAGUGCAAUGGCACAGUCAUAGCUCACUGCAACCUCAGCCUUCCACAUUUGCCAAGAGCCCUGAUCCAGGUGAAUUGUGUAAACCUUGCACGUGGAAUUCCCAGCAAAGAAGCUGUAGGGAUCGGGAUAGGGCCUGGGAAGUGUCUGACUUACAGAAACCCGCCAUGUCUUGUUCUCUGCUGGAGACCUCUGCUUCUCCAUCUUGUGAACAUCCACAGGCCCCCUGCACCGUAAUCUUGCCCUCUCACUGUUGACUCAGUCCUCAUGGAAGUUAUAAAAGAACUUGUGUGGAUUAGCUUGCUAAAUACAUCCAAGAUUUGAAGAACUGAAAACAAAAUCAGUAUUAAACCUGCUUUUUAAAAAUGCACCCUUGCAGGGUAACAGUUAACACUUCCGUGGUCUGGAUGAGGAUACGAGAGAGGUAAGGAGCAUGCUGACGGUCACCUAGCCAGUGAAUGUGAACUGUCUGACUUUCUCUGAUUUGCCAUAUCCUUAAACGUGUUUAGAUGCUCUUCCUGGCAUGGAUGUAAAUAAGAGAUUGGAACCUCCUGGAUUGUGUUCAUAAGAGGAGUGUGAUCCUCAUCCUUCUAAACUUUGUCUGGAGUCACAGAAAGCAAGGAAGUUAGAGAAACAUCCUGUCACACAGCUUUGGUACCUGUGUGGGGAGCUAAGAGAUCUGAUGUCCAGUUCCAGUCCUUUAAUGAAUUUCCUCUGUAUCCAUGAGCUAUCUAAGGUCCAUGGGAAACAGUUGAUCUUAUGCCAACCAAGGGGCAUGGACCAGAUGCUCUCAAGAGUCUCUCAGUCAGCUCUUUGCUGAGGGACCUUAUGCAUGGAGGAAAGUGCACACAUCGCUAAGUGGAUAGCUUGAUGGAAUAGUUGUUACAAAAUGGACACACUUCUGCAAUCAGCACCUUGAUUAAUAGAAAAUUACCAGCACCCCAGAGCCCUCGUCCCCUCAUGCUCCAGGAGCAACCAGUAUCCUGCCUUGUGAUGCCUUUGUUUAGUUUGUUUUUAUGAAUAGAAUCAUACAGUGAAUAUUCUUUUGUGUCUAGCUUGUUUUACUUAUUAUGUUUGUGAAAUCUACAAUAUUGUAUACAAUACUUUUUUUGCAUUCUC
Pan troglodytes (chimpanzee) is the source of this 1361-nucleotide long non-coding RNA. RefSeq lists it as uncharacterized. The transcript is spliced from 5 exons. The record is from RefSeq and is a predicted model, not a curated record. Lineage: Eukaryota; Metazoa; Chordata; Mammalia; Primates; Hominidae.